AGUGAACGCUGGCGGUAUGCCUAACACAUGCAAGUCGAACGGCAGCACAGUAAGAUCUUGCUCUUACGGGUUGCGAGUGGCGGACGGGUGAGGAAUACAUCGUAAUCUACUUUUUCGUGUGGGAUAACGUAGGUAAACUUACUCUAAGACCGCAUACGACCUACGGGGGAAAGCAUUGGAUCGUCUGACCUUUCGGGGUUGAAUGAGCCGAUGUCGGGUUAGCUAGUCGGCGGGGUAAUGGCCCACCAAGGCGACGAUCCGUAGCCGGAGUGAGAGGCUGGUAGGCCACACUGGAACGGAGACACGGUCAAGACUACUGCGGGAGGCAGCAGUGGGGAAUAUUGGACAACGGGCGCAAGCAUGAUCCAGCGAUCCCGAGCGGGUGGCGGAGGCGCUGGGGUUGUAAAGACCUUUUGUUGGGAAAGAAAAGCAGCCGCUUAAUACCAAGCUGUUGUGACGGUACCCAAAGAAUAAGCACCGGCUAACUUCGUG
RNAcentral lists this ribosomal RNA (492 nucleotides) under uncultured bacterium. RNAcentral describes it as "partial 16S ribosomal RNA". It matches the Rfam family "Bacterial small subunit ribosomal RNA", at positions 29 to 507 of the family's 1533-position model. The record is from RNAcentral.